RNAcentral lists this transfer RNA (69 nucleotides) under Ratufa bicolor melanopepla. RNAcentral describes it as "tRNA-Trp". It matches the Rfam family "tRNA". Rfam says of the family: Transfer RNA (tRNA) molecules are approximately 80 nucleotides in length. Their secondary structure includes four short double-helical elements and three loops (D, anti-codon, and T loops). Further hydrogen bonds mediate the characteristic L-shaped molecular structure. tRNAs have two regions of fundamental functional importance: the anti-codon, which is responsible for specific mRNA codon recognition, and the 3' end, to which the tRNAs corresponding amino acid is attached (by aminoacyl-tRNA synthetases). tRNAs cope with the degeneracy of the genetic code in two manners: having more than one tRNA (with a specific anti-codon) for a particular amino acid; and 'wobble' base-pairing, i.e. permitting non-standard base-pairing at the 3rd anti-codon position. Lineage: Eukaryota; Metazoa; Chordata; Mammalia; Rodentia; Sciuridae. The record is from RNAcentral.
AGGAAUUUAGGUUAAUCACAGACCAAAAGCCUUCAAAGCUUUAAGUAAAUAAUCACUAUUUAAUUCCUG